RNAcentral lists this ribosomal RNA (358 nucleotides) under uncultured bacterium. RNAcentral describes it as "bacterial SSU rRNA". It matches the Rfam family "Bacterial small subunit ribosomal RNA", at positions 135 to 507 of the family's 1533-position model. The record is from RNAcentral.
AGAGGGGGAUAACAUUUGGAAACAGAUGCUAAUACCGCAUAAGAUUACAGUACCGCAUGAUACAGUGAUCAAAGGAGCAAUCCGCUGAAAGAUGGGCUCGCGUCCGAUUAGAUAGUUGGUGAGGUAACGGCUCACCAAGUCGACGAUCGGUAGCCGGACUGAGAGGUUGAACGGCCACAUUGGGACUGAGAUACGGCCCAGACUCCUACGGGAGGCAGCAGUGGGGAAUAUUGGGCAAUGGGCGCAAGCCUGACCCAGCAACGCCGCGUGAAGGAAGAAGGCUUUCGGGUUGUAAACUUCUUUACCAGGGACGAAGGACGUGACGGUACCUGGAGAAAAAGCCACGGCUAACUACGUG